Mastomys coucha (southern multimammate mouse) is the source of this 109-nucleotide small nucleolar RNA. RefSeq annotates it as small nucleolar RNA U13. NCBI's taxonomy places the organism in Eukaryota, Metazoa, Chordata, Mammalia, Rodentia, Muridae. The record is from RefSeq and is a predicted model, not a curated record. The transcript has a single exon.
GUUUUUUUUUGGUUCGUAAAUGUGAAGUGUGAUGAUUGGGUAUUCACACAUUGUGGGACAUGUCCCUCCCACAGACCUUUUUACAAUAUUAGCAAUUACAUGUGAGAAA